AUUCCAGCUCCAAUAGCGUAUAUUAAAGUUGUUGCAGUUAAAAAGCUCGUAGUUGGAUUUCUGGUGGGGACGUUUGGCCGGCCGUAACGGUUUGCGCUGAAAUGUUCUUCGCCAUCCUUGACGAAUACUGGUUCGCCAUUAAGUUGUGUGGGCUUGGAGUCGUCAUCGUUUACUGUGAAAAAAUUAGAGUGUUCAAAGCAGGCUUAUGCCGUUGAAUACAUUAGCAUGGAAUAAUAAGAUAGGACCCUGGUACUAUUUUGUUGGUUUGCGUACCUAGGUAAUGAUUAAUAGGGACAGUCAGGGGCACUCGCAUUCCGCCGAGAGAGGUGAAAUUCUCAGACCAGCGGAAGACGAACCACUGCGAAAGCAUUUGCCAGGGAUGUUUUCAUCA
RNAcentral lists this ribosomal RNA (391 nucleotides) under Triparma sp. Its description in RNAcentral is "partial small subunit ribosomal RNA". It matches the Rfam family "Eukaryotic small subunit ribosomal RNA", at positions 582 to 975 of the family's 1831-position model. The record is from RNAcentral. Lineage: Eukaryota; Bolidophyceae; Parmales; Triparmaceae.